AUAAAAAGAAAAUAGGAGAAGUUCAUCAUAUGUAAUUGUUUUCUGCUUUCUUUGUGCCAAAUUCAAGUACAUAUAAGUUGGGCAAAGCACUUUGCGCUUGCCCCUGAGAUCUCUCUCUCUCUCACACACACACUCACACAAACAUGAUUAUAAACAGGCCAAGUUUCUUUCUCAUCCUAGCUCACAUCAUAACGGCGACUGAAGCAGCAUUUGUUUCUACAAAUGAAACCGAGUACAGGGCAUUACUGGCCAUCAAAAGCCAGAUAAUUUCAGACCCAUUCAGUGCCCUCAGCUCGUGGAACGAUUCGGUCCCCCUCUGUGCUUGGAAUGGAGUUACAUGUGGGAAGAAGCAUCAACGAGUGGUUGCACUUGAGCUCCCAUCGCUUCAAUUGAUGGGUUUCUUGUCUCCUUACAUCGGGAACCUUUCUUUCCUCAGAGUGCUUAACCUCAACGACAAUGGCUUCCAUGGGACACUAUCCCAGGAAUUCAGUCAGUUGUCGAGGCUACGGGCCCUCAGGAUGGCAAUCAAUUCUUUCCAAGGAGAGCUUCCAACAAAUAUAACUAAUCAUGCGUAUCUCUCGUUCCUAAAUUUGAGCAGAAACAAUUUUCAUGGAAGAAUUCCAGGAGAAGUUGGGUUUCUUGGAAAGCUCAUUGAAAUAGAUUUAUCUCUCAAUCAUUUCGCUGGUACCAUCCCACCUUCUUUGGGCAAUCUCUCAGCUCUGAGUGAUCUCAGUUUACACAGCAAUAACAUCGGAGGAAGCAUACCACCAGAACUCGGGAAGUUGUCCAACUUAUUGUUUCUCCGGUUAUACAGCAACAACCUCUCUGGUUCCAUUCCUACAACCCUUUUCAAUAUCUCAUCUAUCCUCACAUUCACCGUUGGUGCCAACAAUCUAAGCGGGUCUCUUCCUUCUGAUUUAUUCAUAACAUUACCCAACCUCCAACUGUUGCUCCUCCGCCGUAGUAAAUUUUCAGGAUCAAUUCCAACUUCGAUAAUGAAUGCCUCGCAGCUGGAGAUGAUCAGUAUACUUGGAAACUCCUUUACGGGACCAGUUCCAGUGGAUUUGGGAGGGCUUAAGAAUUUGGAGGUACUAGCUUUUGGUCUCAACCCCUUGGGAAUUGAAGGACGAGACGAUUUGAGAUUCUUUACCUCCCUUGCCAACUGCACCAAGCUACGCGUACUCUCAUUAUACCAGAAUGGCCUUAAAGGCACAUUACCCAAUUCUAUUGCCAAUUUCUCAACGAGUCUUACCAUUCUCCAGCUGGACUUUAAUUUCAUAUCAGGAGUCAUACCUUCAGGGAUAGGGAACCUCGUGAACUUGCAACUUCUCUCCCUGAACUUUAACAAGUUUGUAGGGAGGAUUCCUGAAUCCAUCGGUAAAAUUCCCCAGAUGCAGGAAAUCUCGAUUGCUUUUAAUAAUUUCUCCGGAAAGUUGCCACCCUCCAUUGGCAACAUCCCGUCUAGACUUAAGCAGGAAUAUGCUGGAGGGCACUCUACCCAAUUCAUUAGGGAACUGCACAAAUCUGAACUUACUAGAUCUCACUCAGAAUCGGCUUGUUGGCCCAGUUCUGGACGGUCUCCUCCGUCUUACUUCACUCUCGCUAGGUCUGUCAUUAGCGAGUAAUGAUUUCUCUGGUCCAAUUUCCUAUCAGGUCGGUAAAUUGGUCAACCUCCAGGCGUUAGAUCUUUCGGAGAACAGCAUAUCUGGAGAAAUUCCACCCACUUUAGGUGAUUGCCUGGUGUUGGAAUCGCUCCGUCUGGGAAAUAACCAAUUCACUGGGACUAUUCCACCAUCUAUGUCAAAUCUAAGAGGCAUCGAGGUACUUGAUGUUUCCCGGAACAACUUGUCUGGGCCGAUUCCACCGUUUCUGGCUGAGCUCCCUUUCCUCAAGAAUCUCAAUCUUUCCUUCAACAUGUUCGAGGGAGAAGUGCCAAAGGGAAGAAUCUUUGGUAACCUCAGCGCUGUCUCAGUUGUUGGAAAUGAUAAGCUGUGUGGAGGACCUCCCAUGUUGCAGUUGCCAACAUGUAAAGAUGGAGCUCGAAAGAAACGCCGAAAUGGAUUUUGGUCUCAGAGGAUAGUUCUGAUAAUUAGUGUGACUGUCCCUAUUCUUCUUCUGUUAGUAGGAGGGAUCAUCACAACAGUUCUUUGCCAAUCAAAAAGGUCGAAAAGGGAGACAACUCCAGCUUCUUUGAUGGAGAAUCAUUGCCCUAAGCUUUCUUAUGCAGAACUUUCUCAAGCAACAGAUAGGUUCUCUCCAGCAAACCUGGUUGGAGAAGGAAGCUUUGGUGUGGUCUACAAAGGGGUCUUACCGAGCAAUGAACAAAUUGUCGCCGUGAAGGUUCUCAAACUUGAAGAAAAGGGAUCAAUCAAGAGCUUCAUGGCUGAGUGUGAGGCCUUGAGGCAAAUUCGGCAUCGGAACCUGGUCAAGACUAUAACUUCUUGUUCGGCCAUUGAUUUCAGCGGUGAUGAUUUUAAGGCUCUAGUGUUUUAGUACAAGCCCAAUGGGAGCCUCGAGAAAUGGCUGCAUCCGAUCCUGAACAUGACAGGAGGAAUUGACAAUCACACAACAUUCAGUGUAGCGCAGAGGUUGAGCAUAGCCAUUGAUGUGGCUACAGCUCUGGACUAUCUCCAUCAUCGGUGCCACGAUUGCAUAGUCCACUGUGACUUGAAGCCGAGCAAUAUUCUCCUUGAUAGUGAUUUUGUGGCACAUUUAAGUGAUUUCGGUCUUGCUAAGUUCCUCAUGGCCAAAGCAUCAAGAACACAGUCCAGUUCGAUUGCGAUCAGAGGAACUGUUGGCUACAUUCCUCCAGAAUACGGCAUUGGUCGGGAGGUGUCGACACAAGGAGAUGUGUACAGCUUCGGGAUUCUCUUGCUCGAACUGUUCACGGGAAAGAGGCCCACUAAUCCCAUGUUCAGUGGCGAGUUCGGACUACAUGAGUUUGUUGACAGAUCUCUAUCUCAUGGGCUGAAUCAGGUUCUGGACCCAUUGCUCUGCUUGGAAGAAGUACAAGGUAACCUCCACCAUUGCUUGGUCUUGAUCCUCAGAGUCGGGCUCAUGUGCUCAGCUGCACAACCGAAUGAAAGGAUUGGCAUUGAGGAAGCAGCUGUAGAACUGCAAAAGGCACGGGAUGUUCUACAAGUUUGCACUAAAUGAAAUUGAGGGUGAGUUCCAUAUGCUCGCUUCAUGAUAAUAACAAAGAAUCGAGCGUUCGAUUGCUUGUAGAUCUCUUUCAUCCUGUACUUAAUGCCACUAGAAUUAUGUAAAUAAGUUUGGCGUGCUCUCCUUAGCUGAUAGUUAGCAAUCCACAUGAAUUCUGCUUACUGAUAAUCCCACAAGAAGUCAAUUUGGUAUAUCACGUGAUUA
Punica granatum (pomegranate) is the source of this 3366-nucleotide non-coding RNA. The record is from RefSeq and is a predicted model, not a curated record. NCBI's taxonomy places the organism in Eukaryota, Viridiplantae, Streptophyta, Magnoliopsida, Myrtales, Lythraceae.